RNAcentral lists this unclassified non-coding RNA (83 nucleotides) under Arenibacter nanhaiticus. Lineage: Bacteria; Pseudomonadati; Bacteroidota; Flavobacteriia; Flavobacteriales; Flavobacteriaceae. The record is from RNAcentral.
AACCGCCCAGUACGAGACCCGUACGCUGGGUGGUGUGAGAGGCGCAGUCCGUUUCUAUUUAGGGGCGGACCCGUCUACUCGAU